AGAGACCGGCGCACGGGUGCGUAACGCGUAUGCAAUCUACCUUUUACAGAGGGAUAGCCCAGAGAAAUUUGGAUUAAUACCUCAUAGUAUAGCAGUUUCGCAUGAAACCACUAUUAAAGUCACAACGGUAAAAGAUGAGCAUGCGUCCCAUUAGCUAGUUGGUAAGGUAACGGCUUACCAAGGCUACGAUGGGUAGGGGUCCUGAGAGGGAGAUCCCCCACACUGGUACUGAGACACGGACCAGACUCCUACGGGAGGCAGCAGUGAGGAAUAUUGGACAAUGGGCGCAAGCCUGAUCCAGCCAUGCCGCGUGCAGGAUGACGGUCCUAUGGAUUGUAAACUGCUUUUGUACGAGAAGAAACACUCCUAUGUAUAGGAGCUUGACGGUAUCGUAAGAAUAAGGAUCGGCUAACUCCGUGCCAGCAGCCGCGGUAAUACGGAGGAUCCAAGCGUUAUCCGGAAUCAUUGGGUUUAAAGGGUCCGUAGGCGGUUUAGUAAGUCAGUGGUGAAAGCCCAUCGCUCAACGGUGGAACGGCCAUUGAUACUGCUGAACUUGAAUUAUUAGGAAGUAACUAGAAUAUGUAGUGUAGCGGUGAAAUGCUUAGAGAUUACAUGGAAUACCAAUUGCGAAGGCAGGUUACUACUAAUUGAUUGACGCUGAUGGACGAAAG
Molecule: ribosomal RNA, 671 nt
Filed under: uncultured Flavobacteriales bacterium
Lineage: Bacteria; Pseudomonadati; Bacteroidota; Flavobacteriia; Flavobacteriales
Description: bacterial SSU rRNA
Rfam family: Bacterial small subunit ribosomal RNA
Source: RNAcentral